This 511-nucleotide ribosomal RNA is filed under the name uncultured bacterium. Its description in RNAcentral is "bacterial SSU rRNA". It matches the Rfam family "Bacterial small subunit ribosomal RNA", at positions 34 to 518 of the family's 1533-position model. The record is from RNAcentral.
CGCUGGCGGCGUGCCUAAUACAUGCAAGUCGAACGGUCUUUCUAUGGAAGCUUGCUUCCACUGAGAAGAUAGUGGCGAACGGGUGAGUAACACGUGGGUAACCUGCCCAUAAGAGGGGGAUAACAUCCGGAAACGGGUGCUAAUACCGCAUAGUUUUCUUGAUCGCAUGAUUGAGAAAGGAAAGACGGCCUUUGUGCUGUCGCUUAUGGAUGGACCCGCGGCGUAUUAGUUAGUUGGUGAGGUAACGGCUCACCAAGACGAUGAUACGUAGCCGACCUGAGAGGGUGAUCGGCCACAUUGGGACUGAGACACGGCCCAAACUCCUACGGGAGGCAGCAGUAGGGAAUCUUCCGCAAUGGACGAAAGUCUGACGGAGCAACGCCGCGUGAGUGAAGAAGGUUUUCGGAAUCGUAAAACUCUGUUGUCAGAGAAGAACAAGUUGGAGAGUAACUGCUCCAGCCUUGACGGUAUCUGACCAGAAAGCCACGGCUAACUACGUGCCAGCAGCUGC